Molecule: long non-coding RNA, 863 nt
Organism: Chrysoperla carnea
Lineage: Eukaryota; Metazoa; Arthropoda; Insecta; Neuroptera; Chrysopidae
Exons: 4
Source: RefSeq, a predicted model, not a curated record
GUUCCCUGUGCUAUUAGAACGAUUGGUCUCUCGACAAUACGUAAAAUAAUUAAUAACAGCCGUUUAUUGAAUAGUAUUUAUUGUCUAGUGUUUUUUUAUUAUUUUUGAUUUAAAAUUUUACUAAAAUGUCUAAAAAUUAUUUGUGUUUAUUAUUUAACCAUAACCAAAAAAUCUGUGCUGUUACAUUACUUCAUUAGAAAGAGAGGCAGUGAUAGAAAACAGUUGACUAUAUAUGUGUAUAACGCAAUGUUAUUUUUAUUAGUGUUUUCUCCGGUAACCUUGACGGAUCCACAAUUAAUUGAACUAAAAAAUCAAAUAGAUACAAUGUUGGAGACAAAGUUUUAUAACCUCACACUGAUAAUGGAAAAAAAAAAUAGAAUCAACGAAAAGAAGCAUAUUGUAUGAUAUUCAGCACAAAACUGAUGAACUUAAAAAUACUACAGUUACAAAUGGAUCUGCGACAUCGAUAAAUUUAACAGAAGCUAAAAAGAGAGGGAUAAAUGGAUCGUUGACAUUGGAGAAGUUCGAAGAUUUCGAUAAUAAACUCAGAGCGAAUGAUGAACACAAAGAAUCUUUAAUGAUUUUAUAUAAGAUUAUAACAAGGGGUGAAUUAAAAAUAAUGUCUGCUAUAAAAAAGAUUAUGGAAGUGACCAUGGAAAAAACGGUGGAGUUAGAAUACUCGGGAACAGGUCGUACUGUCAAUGGCUUGGGGAAAAAAAAUUUUAGCAAUACGGCUACCUACAAAUGUUUAGAUGGAGUGCUUUCUGACCAAUUUGCGGACUCAGGAGAGUUGAAAAAUUUAUCAGGAAAAGUGGGUCGCUGGUUAUCUGGUGCAGCGGAUCGCGAAGGUGGUCGUAAGGAGC